This 422-nucleotide ribosomal RNA is filed under the name uncultured bacterium. RNAcentral describes it as "partial 16S ribosomal RNA". It matches the Rfam family "Bacterial small subunit ribosomal RNA", at positions 360 to 774 of the family's 1533-position model. The record is from RNAcentral.
AAUUUUGGACAAUGGGGGAAACCCUGAUCCAGCCAUCCCGCGUGUAUGAUGAAGGCCUNCGGGUUNUNAAGUACUUUUGGCAGAGNCGAGAAGGUAUCUCCUAAUACGAGAUACUGCUGACGGUAUCUGCAGGAUAAGCACCGGCUAACUACGUGCCAGCGGCCGCGGUAAUACGUAGGGUGCAAGCGUUAACCGGAAUUACUGGGCGUCAAGCGUGUGUAGGCGGUUCGGAGAGAAGGAGGUGAAAUCCCAGGGCUCAACCGUGGAACUGCAUUUUUAACUGCCGAGCUAGAGUAUGUCAGAGGGGGGUAGAAUUCCACGUGUAGCAGUGAAAUGCGUAGAUAUGUGGAGGAAUACCGAUGGCGAAGGCAGCCCCCUGGGAUAAUACUGACGCUCAGACACGAAAGCGUGGGGAGCAAACA